RNAcentral lists this ribosomal RNA (253 nucleotides) under uncultured bacterium. RNAcentral's name for it is "partial 16S ribosomal RNA". It matches the Rfam family "Bacterial small subunit ribosomal RNA", at positions 524 to 776 of the family's 1533-position model. The record is from RNAcentral.
UACGUAGGGUGCAAGCGUUGUCCGGAAUUAUUGGGCGUAAAGAGCUCGUAGGCGGUCUGUCGCGUCGGCUGUGAAAACCCGGGGCUCAACCCCGGGCCUGCAGUCGAUACGGGCAGACUAGAGUGCGGUAGGGGAGACUGGAAUUCCCGGUGUAGUGGUGAAAUGCGUAGAGAUCGGGAGGAACACCUGUGGCGAAGGCGGCCCCCUGGGCCGGCCCUGACACUGAGACGCGAAGGCGUGGGGAGCGAACGGG